CUACGGGCCGCACCAGUGAGGAAUAUUGGACAAUGGGCGAAAGCCUGAUCCAGCGACGCCGCGUGGGUGAAGAAGGCCUUCGGGUUGUAAAGCCCUGUCAGAGGGGACGAAGUUCUGACGGUACCCUCAGAGGAAGCACAGGCUAACUCCGUGCCAGCAGCCGCGGUAAUACGGAGUGUGCGAGCGUUGCUCGGAAUCACUGGGCGUAAAGGGCACGUAGGCGGCCUCGUGUGUUGGGUGUGAAAGCCCACGGCUCAACCGUGGAACUGCACUCAAAACUGCGAGGCUAGAGUACGGAAGAGGAAGGCGGAAUUCCCAGUGUAGGGGUGAAAUCCGUAGAUAUUGGGAAGAACACCAGUGGCGAAGGCGGCCUUCUGGGACGAUACUGACGCUGAUGUGCGAAAGCGUGGGGAGCAAACAGGAUUAGAUACCCCAGUAGUC
This 441-nucleotide ribosomal RNA is filed under the name uncultured bacterium. RNAcentral describes it as "partial 16S ribosomal RNA". It matches the Rfam family "Bacterial small subunit ribosomal RNA", at positions 339 to 795 of the family's 1533-position model. The record is from RNAcentral.